This 480-nucleotide ribosomal RNA is filed under the name uncultured bacterium. RNAcentral's name for it is "bacterial SSU rRNA". It matches the Rfam family "Bacterial small subunit ribosomal RNA", at positions 30 to 506 of the family's 1533-position model. The record is from RNAcentral.
UUGAACGCUGGCGGCAUGCCUUACACAUGCAAGUCGAACGGUAACAGGUCUUCGGAUGCUGACGAGUGGCGAACGGGUGAGUAAUACAUCGGAACGUGCCCGAUCGUGGGGGAUAACGAAGCGAAAGCUUUGCUAAUACCGCAUAAGAUCUACGGAUGAAAGCAGGGGACCGCGAGGCCUUGCGCGAACGGAGCGGCCGAUGGCAGAUUAGGUAGUUGGUGGGAUAAAAGCUUACCAAGCCGACGAUCUGUAGCUGGUCUGAGAGGACGACCAGCCACACUGGGACUGAGACACGGCCCAGACUCCUACGGGAGGCAGCAGUGGGGAAUUUUGGACAAUGGGCGAAAGCCUGAUCCAGCCAUUCCGCGUGAGUGAAGAAGGCCUUCGGGUUGUAAAGCUCUUUCGGCAGGAACGAAAUGGUCACGGUUAAUAACCGUGACUUCUGACGGUACCUGAAGAAGAAGCACCGGCUAACUACGU